Molecule: ribosomal RNA, 418 nt
Filed under: uncultured archaeon
Lineage: Archaea
Description: bacterial SSU rRNA
Rfam family: Archaeal small subunit ribosomal RNA
Source: RNAcentral
GUGCAGCAGGCGCGAAACCUCCGCAAUGCACGCAAGUGCGACGGGGGAACCCCAAGUGCCACUCUUAACGGGGUGGCUUUUCAGAAGUGUAAAAAGCUUCUGGAAUAAGGGCUGGACAAGACCGGUGCCAGCCGCCGCGGUAACACCGGCAGCUCAAGUGGUAGCCGCUUUUAUUGGGCCUAAAGCGUCCGUAGCCGGUCUGAUAAGUCUCUGGUGAAAUCCCACAGCUUAACUGUGGGAAUUGCUGGAGAUACUAUCAUGACUCGAGGUCGGGAGAGGCUGGAGGUACUCCCAGGGUAGGGGUGAAAUCCUGUAAUCCUGGGAGGACCACCUGUGGCGAAGGCGUCCAGCUGGAACGAACCUGACGGUGAGGGACGAAAGCCAGGGGCGCGAACCGGAUUAGAUACCCGGGUAGUCC